GACGAACGCUGGCGGCGUGCUUAACACAUGCGAGUCGAACGAUGACGACCGAGCUUGCUCGGUCUGAUUAGUGGCGAACGGGUGAGUAACACGUGAGCAACCUGCCCUUCACUCUGGGAUAACCUCGGGAAAUCGGGGCUAAUACCGGAUAUGAGCUCCUGUCGCAUGGCGGGUGUUGGAAAGUUUUUCGGUGAAGGAUGGGCUCGCGGCCUAUCAGUUUGUUGGUGAGGUAGUGGCUCACCAAGGCGAUGACGGGUAGCCGGCCUGAGAGGGCGACCGGCCACACUGGGACUGAGACACGGCCCAGACUCCUACGGGAGGCAGCAGUGGGGAAUAUUGCACAAUGGGCGAAAGCCUGAUGCAGCGACGCCGCGUGAGGGAUGACGGCCUUCGGGUUGUAAACCUCUUUCAGCAGGGAAGAAGCGAAAGUGACGGUGCCUGCAGAAGAAGCGCCGGCUAACUACGUG
Molecule: ribosomal RNA, 467 nt
Filed under: uncultured bacterium
Lineage: Bacteria
Description: partial 16S ribosomal RNA
Rfam family: Bacterial small subunit ribosomal RNA
Source: RNAcentral